AGAGCGAACGCUGGCGGCAUGCUUAACACAUGCAAGUCGCACGGGCAGGGGUAACUCUGUCAGUGGCGGACGGGUGAGUAACGCGUAGGUAUCUAUCCUCGGGUGGGGGACAACCACGGGAAACUGUGGCUAAUACCGCAUGAUGACUGAGGUCCAAAGGCGCAAGUCGCCUGGGGAGAGCCUGCGUCCGAUUAGCUUGUUGGUGGGGUAAAGGCCUACCAAGGCUCCGAUCGGUAGCUGGUCUGAGAGGAUGAUCAGCCACACUGGGACUGAGACACGGCCCCAGGCUCCUACGGGAGGCAGCAGUGGGGAAUAUUGGACAAUGGGCGAAAGCCUGAUCCAGCAAUGCCGCGUGUGUGAAGAAGGUCUUCGGAUUGUAAAGCACUUUCGACGGGACGAUGAUGACGGUACCCGUAGAAGAAGCCCGGCUAACUUCGCGCCAGCAGCCGC
Molecule: ribosomal RNA, 450 nt
Filed under: uncultured bacterium
Lineage: Bacteria
Description: SSU rRNA
Rfam family: Bacterial small subunit ribosomal RNA
Source: RNAcentral